RNAcentral lists this transfer RNA (74 nucleotides) under candidate division MSBL1 archaeon SCGC-AAA259O05. RNAcentral describes it as "candidate divison MSBL1 archaeon SCGC-AAA259O05 tRNA". It matches the Rfam family "tRNA". Rfam says of the family: Transfer RNA (tRNA) molecules are approximately 80 nucleotides in length. The record is from Rfam by way of RNAcentral. Lineage: Archaea; Methanobacteriati; Methanobacteriota.
GGGCCUGUGGUCCAACCUCGAUAAGACACUCGGCUACGGACCGAGAGAUGUGGGUGCAAAUCCUGUCAGGCCCG